This 205-nucleotide non-coding RNA is filed under the name Parahoeflea olei. The record is from RNAcentral. Lineage: Bacteria; Pseudomonadati; Pseudomonadota; Alphaproteobacteria; Hyphomicrobiales; Rhizobiaceae.
AAUGUCCGCGCCGGAGCCGGUUCCGUCGCGAGACGGAUGAAAAGGGAACGCGGUGAGGCUGGGUGUCAGCCAAAUCCGCGACUGCCCCCGCAACUGUAACCGUAGAGCCUCCAUCCACAUGCCACUGGCCAGCGUCGCUGUUCGGGAAGGCGGAUGGGGGUGACGACACGGAAGUCAGGAGACCUGCCAGUUCCAGUCACCCAUG